AUAGCUCAGUGGUAGAGCACAUGCUUAGCAUGCAUGAGGUACUGGGUUCAAUCCCCAGU
This 59-nucleotide transfer RNA is filed under the name Camelus bactrianus (Bactrian camel). It matches the Rfam family "tRNA", at positions 7 to 64 of the family's 71-position model. Rfam says of the family: Transfer RNA (tRNA) molecules are approximately 80 nucleotides in length. Their secondary structure includes four short double-helical elements and three loops (D, anti-codon, and T loops). Further hydrogen bonds mediate the characteristic L-shaped molecular structure. tRNAs have two regions of fundamental functional importance: the anti-codon, which is responsible for specific mRNA codon recognition, and the 3' end, to which the tRNAs corresponding amino acid is attached (by aminoacyl-tRNA synthetases). tRNAs cope with the degeneracy of the genetic code in two manners: having more than one tRNA (with a specific anti-codon) for a particular amino acid; and 'wobble' base-pairing, i.e. permitting non-standard base-pairing at the 3rd anti-codon position. The record is from Rfam by way of RNAcentral. RNAcentral also lists the same sequence under 2 other names. Lineage: Eukaryota; Metazoa; Chordata; Mammalia; Artiodactyla; Camelidae.